UGUUCCAAAUUGACUAAAUAAACUAAUUCAAAUAAAAAAAAAUACUGAUAAUGUGUAUUUCUUUUUUAUUUGCUCUUUGAGAGGGAAGUUUACCAUCUCAACUUUUCUGUGUUAGGCACAUGAUCUACCUCUGCAUUCAUUGGCAUAUGUGAGCAUGGACUUGACCCGAAAGUGAAAGACUGAAUAAAAAUGUUUAACAAGGGGGAAAAAAAGGAAGAAAAAAACACUUAAAAAAUUCAGCAGCUGACCUAACUUCUUGGGAGUCUGAAAAAAUACUCAUAAUCAUCAUGCUGUUACCAAAAGAACACACUAGAGGAGAAUUCGCCUUCAAGGGACUUCCAGGCUAAUGUUUGUCUAGACUGAACAAUAGGUCAUCAAGCACUUGUUUAGCAACCAAGAUGGGAGUAGUAGACUUAGUCAAGUCUCAAGUCCCCUUUUAUUGUCCUCCUAAGUUUCUCUCAUUGUAAUUAGACAUGUCCUAGGUACCUUACCUGUUUCCCCAGGUCC
RNAcentral lists this long non-coding RNA (507 nucleotides) under Monodelphis domestica (gray short-tailed opossum). Its description in RNAcentral is "lncRNA (ENSMODG00000044544.1)". Lineage: Eukaryota; Metazoa; Chordata; Mammalia; Didelphimorphia; Didelphidae. The record is from RNAcentral.